UGACCAGCAGCAUAAUGAUGCCCGGCAAUCCGGCGGCCAGCGCCCAUCCACCCCAGCUAAUUUGCAGGUGCAGAAUGUCGUUGAUCAUUUUCAGCGCCAGAAUGUUCCCCGCCAUUGCGGUAAAGAACAUAUAGCUGGUGGUUUUGGUGACCAUGUAAAUGGACAUCAUCAGGUAAUGUCCGACACGACGCGGACUUUUUUCCGGUUCUGACCCCAAAGCCACCGCCACG
This 230-nucleotide non-coding RNA is filed under the name Escherichia coli. Lineage: Bacteria; Pseudomonadati; Pseudomonadota; Gammaproteobacteria; Enterobacterales; Enterobacteriaceae. The record is from RNAcentral.